AGAGUUUGAUCCUGGCUCAGAUUGAACGCUGGCGGCAUGCCUUACACAUGCAAGUCGAACGGUAACGCGGGGCAACCUGGCGACGAGUGGCGAACGGGUGAGUAAUGCAUCGGAACGUGCCCAGUAGUGGGGGAUAGCCCGGCGAAAGCCGGAUUAAUACCGCAUACGACCUACGGGUGAAAGCGGGGGACUCGCAAGAGCCUCGCGCUAUUGGAGCGGCCGAUGUCAGAUUAGCUAGUUGGUGGGGUAAAAGCCUACCAAGGCGACGAUCUGUAGCUGGUCUGAGAGGACGACCAGCCACACUGGGACUGAGACACGGCCCAGACUCCUACGGGAGGCAGCAGUGGGGAAUUUUGGACAAUGGGCGCAAGCCUGAUCCAGCCAUGCCGCGUGCGGGAAGAAGGCCUUCGGGUUGUAAACCGCUUUUGUCAGGGAAGAAACGCUCUGGGCUAAUACCCCGGGGUAAUGACGGUACCUGAAGAAUAAGCACCGGCUAACUACGUGCCAGCAGCCGCGGUAAUACGUAGGGUGCAAGCGUUAAUCGGAAUUACUGGGCGUAAAGCGUGCGCAGGCGGUUAUGCAAGACAGAUGUGAAAUCCCCGGGCUCAACCUGGGAACUGCAUUUGUGACUGCAUAGCUAGAGUACGGUAGAGGGGGAUGGAAUUCCGCGUGUAGCAGUGAAAUGCGUAGAUAUGCGGAGGAACACCGAUGGCGAAGGCAAUCCCCUGGACCUGUACUGACGCUCAUGCACGAAAGCGUGGGGAGCAAACAGGAUUAGAUACCCUGGUAGUCCACGCCCUAAACGAUGUCAACUGGUUGUUGGACGGCUUGCUGUUCAGUAACGAAGCUAACGCGUGAAGUUGACCGCCUGGGGAGUACGGCCGCAAGGUUGAAACUCAAUGGAAUUGACGGGGACCCGCACAAGCGGUGGAUGAUGUGGUUUAAUUCGAUGCAACGCGAAAAACCUUACCUACCCUUGACAUGUCAAGAAUCUUGCAGAGAUGUGAGAGUGCUCGAAAGAGAACUUGAACACAGGUGCUGCAUGGCCGUCGUCAGCUCGUGUCGUGAGAUGUUGGGUUAAGUCCCGCAACGAGCGCAACCCUUGUCAUUAGUUGCUACGAAAGGGCACUCUAAUGAGACUGCCGGUGACAAACCGGAGGAAGGUGGGGAUGACGUCAGGUCCUCAUGGCCCUUAUGGGUAGGGCUACACACGUCAUACAAUGGCCGGUACAGAGGGCUGCCAACCCGCGAGGGGGAGCUAAUCCCAGAAAACCGGUCGUAGUCCGGAUCGCAGUCUGCAACUCGACUGCGUGAAGUCGGAAUCGCUAGUAAUCGCGGAUCAGCUUGCCGCGGUGAAUACGUUCCCGGGUCUUGUACACACCGCCCGUCACACCAUGGGAGCGGGUUCUGCCAGAAGUAGUUAGCCUAACCGCAAGGGGGGCGAUUACCACGGCAGGGUUCGUGACUGGGGUGAAGUCGUAACAAGGUA
RNAcentral lists this ribosomal RNA (1489 nucleotides) under metagenome. RNAcentral's name for it is "bacterial SSU rRNA". It matches the Rfam family "Bacterial small subunit ribosomal RNA". The record is from RNAcentral.